UGGGGAAUAUUGGACAAUGGGCGAAAGCCUGAUCCAGCCAUGCCGCGUGUGUGAAGAAGGUCUUCGGAUUGUAAAGCACUUUAAGUUGGGAGGAAGGGUUGUAGAUUAAUACUCUGCAAUUUUGACGUUACCGACAGAAUAAGCACCGGCUAACUCUGUGCCAGCAGCCGCGGUAAUACAGAGGGUGCAAGCGUUAAUCGGAAUUACUGGGCGUAAAGCGCGCGUAGGUGGUUUGUUAAGUUGGAUGUGAAAUCCCCGGGCUCAACCUGGGAACUGCAUUCAAAACUGACUGACUAGAGUAUGGUAGAGGGUGGUGGAAUUUCCUGUGUAGCGGUGAAAUGCGUAGAUAUAGGAAGGAACACCAGUGGCGAAGGCGACCACCUGGACUGAUACUGACACUGAGGUGCGAAAGCGUGGGGAGCAAACAGGAUUAGAUACCCAGGUAGUCCCUGAGCGGGCUGGCAAGGCGCAU
Molecule: ribosomal RNA, 472 nt
Filed under: uncultured bacterium
Lineage: Bacteria
Description: bacterial SSU rRNA
Rfam family: Bacterial small subunit ribosomal RNA
Source: RNAcentral